GUGCGGUGAUUCCACAAAUUUGUAGCUACUAUCCAAAGGACAAUGGUCAAAAGCACAAUUUUCUAACUCUAAUCGUCAGAUGUCAUCAUGUUGAUCUAUUCUGUAAUUAUUCUUCUACUUUCUUCAUUUGGGUUCUUGUUGCUAUCAGAUGGAUGAUAACCAAAGAAAAACUUCUGAAAGUAUGCCCCUUGCGGACAAUGAGGAGGUAGAUGUACGUGAGACGAUCAAGAGUUUUGAUAAAUAAAUUAAAGUCCCAACUAAAUGGAUAAAUGAUAUUGAGGCUCAAAAAGGAAGGUGUUGAGAAGAGGCGUACUAAAGCACUGAAAGUGUUUGCUUAGAUCCAACUUGAUUUGAGAGAUAUAAAAACAUGAUUGUGAAUGAGAGGCGAGCAAAGGUAUGCAUGUCUGAGCUUGUUAAUGAAUUAUAGUUAGUUAUAUAUAUUGUUGUUGUGCUUAAAACAAUCUAUUGUUAGGAAGAAGCAGCGAGGGAUUUAUAGAGAGUGAAGAGGGAGAGUGAAAAGUCGAGGUCUGAAUUGGCUGAAAUUAGUAAGAUGCAUCAGGCCCAAUUAACUGUGAAUUGGCUGAAAACUUCGAUGCAGAAAGAGCUUACAGCUCAUUGGAGUGCAAAAGAGCACCUUCUUUACCCUCUCACUACUUCUAUAUUAUUGUACCCUUCUUUUUCGAAAAAAGAUGGCACCUUUGCCCCAUCUUCUGAGUUAGAACUGAGCAAGAUGUGUAAUUUCACUGAGAUGCAGGUUUAUGUAUAUUUGAAUAUGCAUAUGCGUCCUUUAUUUUCUGUGCUAGGAAAAAUCUAGGAGCUAACUUCAAGUUCAAACAAAAUGAAAACUGAGAAAUUGUGCCUACUAAUUUGUCUUCAGUGAUACACAUUCCUCGGGCCUGUUUCGAACUCAGUAGAUUCCUGAGAUACUUUAUGGUCAAGCUAUGACUUUGCUAUUUUUGCUUGCUAAAUUUGUAGAGACUAUCUUGCUUUUAUUUUCAGGACAUGUGCGACAAUAUGGUUUAGAGGAAUGGUGAGCUGAAGAAGAAGAUGUUAUCAUUCAAGGUACGGACAUGUAGCUAGACAUGAGACUGUCUUCUCCAUCAGAACCAACUAUUGCAUUGUAAUUUGUAACCAAGUAGGAAUGCUUUUAAGGUCCAAUUCUCUGCAUACUCUGUAGGUCCAGUUCAUGCAUAUACUGUCCUGUUGGCUCAAUGCAGCUCUGAGUAUUCCUCCAACGCCACUGCCAAGCUACAGUUGUCGCUGCACAGUGGCCCCAGCCCGAGGUUGCCUCUGCAGCCACGAAAGUUGUUUAACACCACUGCAACUACUGGAAGCUACUACGGUUCUCUGGCCUGACUCGACACCAUGUGGUUUACUUUUCUAUGUUGUUGCUGAUUUCUC
Molecule: long non-coding RNA, 1401 nt
Filed under: Zea mays
Lineage: Eukaryota; Viridiplantae; Streptophyta; Magnoliopsida; Poales; Poaceae
Description: long non-coding RNA (ZMAY_LNC001570)
Source: RNAcentral